Molecule: unclassified non-coding RNA, 164 nt
Filed under: uncultured Hypocreales
Lineage: Eukaryota; Fungi; Ascomycota; Sordariomycetes; Hypocreales
Description: sequence contains ITS2
Source: RNAcentral
CAACCCUCGAAGGCCCGCCUCAGGGCCCUCGGUGUUGGGGGACGGCACACCAGCCGCCCCCGAAAUGCAGUGGCGACCCCCGCCGCAGCCUCCCCUGCGUAGUAGAAAACACCUCGCACUGGAGCGCGGAGAGCGGUCACGCCGUAAAACGCCCAACUUCUUAG